CGUGGGUAACCUGCCCCUUAAGUCUGGGAUACCAUUUGGAAACAGAUGCUAAUACCGGAUAAAAAGCUACUUUCGCAUGAAAGAAGUUUAAAAGGACGGCGUAAGCUGUCGCUAAAAGGAUGGACCUGCGAUGCAUUAGCUAGUUGGUAAGGUAACGGCUUGCCAAGGCGAUGAUGCAUAGCCGAGUUGAGAGACUGAUCGGCCACAUUGGGACUGAGACACGGCCCAAACUCCUACGGGAGGCAGCAGUAGGGAAUCUUCCACAAUGGACGCAAGUCUGAUGGAGCAACGCCGCGUGAGUGAAGAAGGUUUUCGGAUCGUAAAGCUCUGUUGUUGGUGAAGAAGGAUAGAGGUAGUAACUGGCCUUUAUUUGACGGUAAUCAACCAGAAAGUCACGGGCUAACUACGUGCCAGCAGCCGCGGUAAAU
This 428-nucleotide ribosomal RNA is filed under the name uncultured Lactobacillus sp. RNAcentral's name for it is "bacterial SSU rRNA". It matches the Rfam family "Bacterial small subunit ribosomal RNA", at positions 116 to 525 of the family's 1533-position model. Lineage: Bacteria; Bacillati; Bacillota; Bacilli; Lactobacillales; Lactobacillaceae. The record is from RNAcentral.